UUCUCUUGAAGAGAGCUCUCUUCAGUCCACUCUGAAAUGGCUGUAGGGCUUCAUUAGCUGCCGACUCAUCCAUUCACCUACCAAGACCCAUGGAUGAGCAAUGUCUUGGUAGCCGAGUGGAUGGCGCGGGAGCUAAAAUCAAGCUCUACGCUGUUUGUGGUUGGACUGAAGGGUGCUCCCUUGCUCGCUCGU
RNAcentral lists this microRNA precursor (192 nucleotides) under Dichanthelium oligosanthes. RNAcentral's name for it is "MIR159 microRNA precursor family". It matches the Rfam family "MIR159 microRNA precursor family". Lineage: Eukaryota; Viridiplantae; Streptophyta; Magnoliopsida; Poales; Poaceae. The record is from Rfam by way of RNAcentral.